This 253-nucleotide ribosomal RNA is filed under the name uncultured bacterium. RNAcentral describes it as "partial 16S ribosomal RNA". It matches the Rfam family "Bacterial small subunit ribosomal RNA", at positions 524 to 776 of the family's 1533-position model. The record is from RNAcentral.
UACGAACUGUGCAAACGUUAUUCGGAAUCACUGGGCUUAAAGGGUGCGUAGGCGGCGAUUUAAGUAGGGUGUGAAAUCCCCCGGCUCAACCGGGGAACUGCGCUCUAAACUGGAUCGCUCGAGUGAGAUAGGGGUGUGUGGAACUCACAGUGGAGCGGUGAAAUGCGUUGAUAUUGUGAGGAACGCCGGAGGCGAAAGCGGCGCACUGGAUCUCUUCUGACGCUGAGGCGCGAAAGCUAGGGGAGCAAACGGG